This 63-nucleotide transfer RNA is filed under the name marine eukaryotic metagenome. It matches the Rfam family "tRNA", at positions 7 to 64 of the family's 71-position model. Rfam says of the family: Transfer RNA (tRNA) molecules are approximately 80 nucleotides in length. Their secondary structure includes four short double-helical elements and three loops (D, anti-codon, and T loops). The record is from RNAcentral.
UCGGUAGCUCAGUUGGUAGAGCAACGGACUGAAAAUCCGUGUGUCGGCGGUUCGAACCCGCCC